GAUCCUGGCUCAGGAUGAACGCUGGCGGCGUGCUUAACACAUGCAAGUCGAACGAAGCACUUAAGAUUGAUUCUUCGGAUGAUUUCUUUUGUGACUUAGUGGCGGACGGGUGAGUAACGCGUGGGUAACCUGCCUCACACAGGGGGAUAACAGUUAGAAAUGACUGCUAAUACCGCAUAACCCGAUAGGAUCGCAUGAUCCAGACGGAAAAGAUUUAUCGGUGUGAGAUGGACCCGCG
RNAcentral lists this ribosomal RNA (238 nucleotides) under uncultured bacterium. Its description in RNAcentral is "partial 16S ribosomal RNA". It matches the Rfam family "Bacterial small subunit ribosomal RNA", at positions 15 to 235 of the family's 1533-position model. The record is from RNAcentral.